CAUGCAUGUUGGCCAACUUAAAAAUGUGAACUCCCUUGUUGGCUUACUCUUCCUCACUUGGGCUCAUUGGCCAACCUAAGGUUUUUCAUGUGUUGGCUUACUCCUCCUUACUUUGGCCAACUUGAAAAUUAUUGGCCAACUUGAACUUUUUCAUGUGUUGGCUUACUCAAAAUAGAUUGCUUGUUGGCUUACACUUCCUCACUUUGGCCAACUUGAAAAUUGAUUCCCUUGAUGGCUUACUCUCUUUUGUUGGCUAACUUGGAUUUUCUUACUCAUUGGCCAACCUGAGAUUUUUCAUGUGUUGGCUUACUCCUCCUUACUUUGGCCAACUUGAAAAUUGUUGGCCAAGUUGAACUUUUUCAUUUGUUGGCUUACCUAAAAUAGUUUUGUUGGCUUCCUUGAAAUUUUUCAUGUGUUGGCUCCCACUAGCCACUCAAUUCCUGGCCAACUUAAGGUUUUUCAUGUGUUGGCCAACAUGAGCUACAAAUUGGCUUUCCAGUGAUAUGUUUUGUUUGUUGGCUGAUAUUUAGCAUUUUUCACUUGUUGGCUUCCAUGAGCCACUCUCUCUUGUUGGCCAACUCCAAUUCUAUCAAUCGACUAAACUCGAGUAAGUUAUUUGUUGGCCUUCAUUAGCCGAUUUGCCUCUUCAUUCUUCUGUUGGCCGAUUUGAUUAAUGUUUAUUGGCUUACAUGCAUCCAUUGAGUUGUUGGCCACCAUGAGGCAUAUUCACUUGUUGUCCUACUCAAACUUGUUUAUUGGCUUACUCACAAACCGCUCACUUCGAAUAUCAUUUUGUUCAGUUACUUGCUUAGGCCAAUUUAGUCGAUUUUCCGAAAUAUCAUUCGACCAAGAAAAUACAUUCUAGCCAUCAGGGAGGUCAUGUGGGACAUAUUUACAUGAGUUUUCGGAAGUCGAUUAGGGGGCCAAGUUGACUCAAAUUUCUCAACCACUCGGCGACAUUCACCGAUGCUUAAGAAACUUGGGGGGGCAAUGUUUGUACCCACAUUUGCAUGUCCACUCAGACAUAGCUAAUGUGCAUAGUUAGAUUGAUUUCUAAUUACAAUGAGCCGCUCAAAAGGUAAUUGGGGGCCGAUAGAUAGAAAUAUUGGCCAAUGAAUAAUUGGACAAUUCAUUUUGGUCCAAGACAAGUCACAUAAAAACUAAGGCCAAUGGGAAGUUUCGAAAGUUAGGCCAUUGGUUAUCGGCCGGCCCGUAGUCGUCAAUUUAAAAAGAGACUUAUUGUCUAAAAUAUCAUCGGCCGAUUGUUCAAAUCCCUCUAGUCAGUUUCCAACUCGAACUCAACUUAGAAAGAUAAUAGCCGAUGUAGUUAGUAGUUCAAUCAAAUUGAAGUUCGUUAGCCGAUGAAGAGAGUUCAAUCCAAGGUAGUCUACUUCAAGAUUAAUUGCAGCCGUUGAUGAACACAUCAGAGCCGAUCCAGAUAGAGUCCAGCGUCAAGUCAGCAGACGAUAAGUAUUGAAGCCAAAGCAAGAUAGAGUCACUGAGCCAGAAGGAGGCCGAAUUCCACUCAACUUCAAAGAGCCAAGAGAUAAGUUCAAGUCACAAGAGCAGCCAAUAUAAAUAAAGUAUCGACAAAAGACAUAACACACAACUCCAGAAACUCAAGCCAUCAAGCUUUUCUUAUUUUCGUAUUACCUUUUGCUUAGGUUUUCAGGAUUGAUUGAGAUUGCCUUUAAUAUGUAACUUGCCCAUAUAGCUACAGGUAUUACAAUGUUAUAUUCAUAUAAAUUGUGAUGGUAGAGUACAAACUAUCACUGCCUAAUUUGAUUUGAUUGAAAUACUGUAAAGCGUGAUAAUGAAAUUUCAGCUCCCUUGUUUUUUUUUUUAUCUGGCAGCUCCCUUCACUAACUUCUCUUUUGCUUCUUUGACUGGUUUGGCUCCUUUCAAAUGGAAGUUUCCAAAUUGGUUAAAUUCUUGAUGCUCAAAUUGGGUAUGAUAUUGGCAUUAAGUGGCUCUUUUGGAAAUAAUAAUGAUCAUGGUUCAACUUUGCCAGGCACAGGAUAUGAGUAUGAUUAGAGAGACCAGAUGACGAUGCUUCCACUCACCAGUACAUUAUCUCUAUGACCCAGAGGCGCCAACCCAACUGCUCAAAGCCUUGUGAAAAUUGAAAGCAAAGCUCAUUUAGAUUGGACCGAAGCUAGGAAGUCUGUGUCUGUUUAGGAAAUGUGAGCCCUCGGUGCAAUUUGCCUGAAGCUGGUUAGUGAUGAUCAGGCAUACCAAAGCCAAUUAUCCAGCAAAGUAUUACAGGAGCCAAAGAGGCAAAGAACAAUACACUAGAGGCUAGUGAGGGAGGGAGUAAGAACAAAGUGAUGUAGCUGACUGAGAAGGACCAGAGAACGACUAGGUCUAACAGAUAGAGACAGUUGUGGCCCUAUUAUCUCUCUUUGACCCUAUCAAACCAUGUCACGUCUCCAGGGUUGGAACCAGUCUAUUUCUGGUGACUCUGUGCCUGCCCUUGCACGGCUCAGUAUCCGUGCUGCCCAAGACUAACCACAACAUAAGCCUCUCUUCCUCGCAUUUCUUUGAAAUUCUUAAAUUCAGUACAUGGAAUUCGGCGUCUAGCCCAUUGAAUUGUUUGUUUUAAGGUUUCUGAUGAUUACUUUGCCAAAAAAGGGUUUCUGAUGAUUAUCAUCUGGAUUAAAUUUUAGUGCGAGAAUGCAUCAAUGGAGUACCCGGAGGAUAUCUUGCUGUAGAGUGUCUUCAUCCUGAAGAUAAAAAAUUUCCAGACAAACCAGAAUACUACAAUAAAAUCAUGGAAGACGAACCACAGCCUGAAAUCAUCAAAGAGGAACCACACCCGGCUGGACACUCUAUGAAUCAUAUUGGUGACAAAAAUUCACAGGUUGCUGGAGACUAUUCGACUCAAGUGAUUCAAGAAAAACCACAGGUUGUUGGAGACUUUUCGACUGAAAAUGCCAAAAAGAUGCUUUGUUAUUGCAUGGUAUGCGGGAAGAAUACUGAUCAUGGCACUUUCGAUUGCCCCUUCAAAGAAACGGGAUUUGUAUGGUACAAAGGAGUUUAUAUGCCCAAUUUUUGUGAUCUUUGUAAUAAGAUAGGUCACGUGGGUGAAUUAUGCCCUUUUGACUCUGGCUCUGAUCUUGAUUAUGAUCCUCCGGGACCGGAGAUGUGGUAAUAUGGGUCGCCUAUCAGAGGAUUCUCAAAGCUGUUGUGCAGCCAGCACCCAUGGAUUGUUUCUGGUUUUAUAUGUUGGACCAUGGAUUGUUUCUAAUUUAUAUAUUGGGGGCUCUAUUUAUACCUCCUAAAAUAGUAUUUAGACCUCCUUUCAAAAUUAUCGCAUUAGACUUCCAAUUGUACCCUUGUUUUCUCCAUAUAUAUGUAGUGUUUCUUUCUUCCA
This is a long non-coding RNA of Rosa rugosa (rugosa rose), 3373 nucleotides long. RefSeq lists it as uncharacterized. The transcript has 3 exons. The record is from RefSeq and is a predicted model, not a curated record. NCBI's taxonomy places the organism in Eukaryota, Viridiplantae, Streptophyta, Magnoliopsida, Rosales, Rosaceae.